RNAcentral lists this unclassified non-coding RNA (209 nucleotides) under Hevea brasiliensis (rubber tree). Lineage: Eukaryota; Viridiplantae; Streptophyta; Magnoliopsida; Malpighiales; Euphorbiaceae. The record is from RNAcentral.
AAUGUCCAUCUGAACAUGUGAACCAAUUAUGAUCACUCUUUCGGGCAAAUUUUCAAGCUUACUCCUUAAAGCAGUGUAUGCAUCUUGAUUCCCCACCAUAGACUUUUCUAUGUCUUUCACAAACAAUAUUAAAGGACCACGUUUACUCUCAUCUAAGGCAACCUCAAAGAGUUCAUUAACAGCAAGCCUAUCAACAUCUUCACCUCCAG